This 289-nucleotide ribosomal RNA is filed under the name uncultured prokaryote. RNAcentral's name for it is "partial 16S ribosomal RNA". It matches the Rfam family "Bacterial small subunit ribosomal RNA", at positions 524 to 815 of the family's 1533-position model. The record is from RNAcentral.
GACGAACUGUUCUAACGUUAUUCGGAAUCACUGGGCUUAAAGGGCGCGUAGGCUGUUUGUUAAGCGGGGUCUGAAAUCCCUCGGCUCAACCGAGGAACUGGGCUUCGAACUGGCAGACUAGAGUGAAGUAGGGGUAAGCGGAACUUGCGGUGGAGCGGUGAAAUGCUUUGAUAUCGCAAGGAACACCGGCGGCGAAGGCGGCUUACUGGGCUUCAACUGACGCUUAAGCGCGAAAGCUAGGGUAGCGAACGGGAUUAGAUACCCCCGUAGUCCCUGAGCGGGCUGGCAA